Molecule: long non-coding RNA, 1570 nt
Organism: Cyprinus carpio carpio
Lineage: Eukaryota; Metazoa; Chordata; Actinopteri; Cypriniformes; Cyprinidae
Source: Ensembl
UCUCUACUGAAUCUUAUUUUUUUUUUUUUUUUUGAAUAGGUACAUUGAAACAAACUGAUUCACUAGAAUGAAUCUGACUUUUGAAGGCUACAAAUGCAAGAGAAUAGUUUAGGAAAGUUUGUUUGAAUAUUGAUUCUUAUAUGAUUGACUCUUACAUGAAAUACAGGUUUUGAUUCAUUUUGAUGUUAAUGGUUGGAAACAGUAGCUUGUUACUGGAAAAGCUUGUCUGUUUUGAAAGCAGCAUCAACAGUCAUGCCAAAAUAGUUAAGUUAGUAGUGUUUUUACUGUUUUGUUUUUACUUUACCUGUCAGAUAAUUUGGUUAAUGUAGGCAGUUUGAAAAGUGCAAAAUGUACCUUUAAGUGCGUCUGCAAAAGCACAAAACCACCAUUUUUUCAGUCCAGGGUUUUUUUUUUUUUUCAGUCAAAGUCCAGAAAAGUUUACACAAUGUCCUGCCUUACAAGAUGUCCAGUAUUUUUUUUUUUUUCUUGUCUUGCAUGUCAGACACUCAAAACUAUGUUUCACCUUCCCACCUUACAAACAACGCGAGCAUGUCCACCCCAUCGCCAGCUUAACCUGACACGCAUCUGUGCCGGUUUUUUCUUUUCUUUUUCCCCCGCUUGCUUUUUCUGGUUUGGUUUUGUUUUAAUCAGAUGGAGGGUCUCUACUGACGAUGUCACGUCUGGGCUCACACACGCACGCACGCUCAGAAGGACAGUGGGCUGUCCGGUGUAGCAUCAUUAGCUCAGCGGAGACGUGGCGGCCCUGACACAUGUCGAGCGGCGUGCAGCCAACCCACGGACGAGCACGAGUCGCUCCUGCAUAAUUUGAAGUCAUCCAUGGCAGUGCUUUGAGAAUCCUUCCCCGCGUUCCCCAUGACUUGAACGGAGCAUCGCUCAGCGCCGUGAUGGCUCUAUUCAUACUCAGUUGAGUUUUCUCCUGCUCUCCACAGCUGCGCGGCCGUCUACGCAGCGGGCUUCUCUCUCUCUCUCCCUCAUGUGCGCUCAAAAGGUCAAGUAACGAGGGAGAAGAAGUGAAGGAGAAGUAACACGCAACAGCUGAGUGUGUGGGGAACGGGAGAUGAGUGACAGCAUGUUUGCCACUGCAUAAUGAGUGCUGCUCUUUCUGUACUCCGCAACUGCCUCCAUGCCCCCAGGUGCGCUCGGGCCCAGUGACGCUUCACCUUAACUCCAGUCAGACAGCACAUCAGAAGUUCUUCAGUGAGGUGUGGCCGUCCAGAGAUGCCACUUAGUGUUGGCAUCCCCCUGGGGAUGCCUGGAUGUCUUUUCCAAUCAUUUGUAGUGAGUAAAUGAGACGCAGAGCUGACAAUGUGUGAGUUUAUGUGCCCUGUUCUGACACGAGGGUAAAUCGCCAAUGUCUACUGCUGCUCGCUUAAAACGUUGGAUACAUUAUUUUUGUCUUGAUUAAAUUAUGUACGUCCUUGCUAAUCAGGUCUGUGAAACAUCACUGUCCACUACAAACUUGCGUUUUCCCUUUAAUAUCCCUUUGGCUAUUUUUUUUUUAAGUUUAAGAUUAUUAUCUUGUGCAUUUGUGGGCUGCCUUUAUUUUGCU